Long non-coding RNA from Gavialis gangeticus (Gharial), 886 nucleotides. RefSeq lists it as uncharacterized. Lineage: Eukaryota; Metazoa; Chordata; Crocodylia; Gavialidae. The record is from RefSeq and is a predicted model, not a curated record. The transcript has 2 exons.
ACUCUCAUUUUCUCUGUGUUGCCAAUAAAUGUACUUCAUGCUUCCUUCUUGUUUGGGGAAAAUAAUGUGAAGGUUCUUGUUUCCUUUUUUUUUAUUUCUGAGUUACUUUCUUAUCUUUUCUUUAUUUGUGACUUAAGAUAUGGGCAAAAUUUAAUGAGGGUUGAGUUCCUGACCCCCUUUUGUGCUUUUGAAAAUUUUUCCUUUAUUCUAGAGACACAAAAACAAUACAUCAAUUUUGGGAAACCUUCUGCACGUGGAAUUAGUUAGUGCAUAGUAAGGCAGGGUGUGAAGUUACAGUAUAGUAGCUACUUUUUGCUAACUAACCAGGUAAACACUCUCGAGUACUUUAAGAGCGUCUCUGCUAGUAGCUUACAUCUCUGAAAGUGGAGUAAUCUACCUUGCACCACAUUUACACUAUGUCUGACCAGAACACCUAUUGUUCCCAGCAGGAUAACUACACCUCAAGCUUACUGUCCUGCUUCAGGUGGAUUGUCUCCUAAACUGGAAAUAAGAUUUGAGUAAGACAAUAUUUUUUAUUGGACCGGUUUAGAGAUGAGAAAGAUGCUAGACAAGUGUCUGGGCAUGAAAUAUUUUUGCUCAGGAAUUGCACCGUGGUGAUUAUGUCUUCAGUGUGGUUAGGUCAAAAUCAGGACUAGAAAAAUGCCUCCUUGAUCAGCCUUAAACAAGAAGAUUUGGGCUCCACCUUGUGGACAUAGAAUAAAUAUCAUGGGAAGAUAUAUAAAUUAGUGGAUGCAAUGAAGAUUUCAUUUGUAGCAUUUCCUGUAAUUUUUUGUUAGUCUAAGGAAAAAAACAAAAUUAGCCUACGAUCAUAUUUGUUUGUAUAGAGUUGUUUUAUCUGUUUUGAAUAAAAUAGUCUGAAAAUUAA